GCAACAAAGGAUUGUCAUCCAAUCCAUCCUCACUUUCAUCACUGCAAGAAGAUACAUAAUAUGCUGAGAGUGAAAGGAGAACAUUCAAAAGAGGAGACGUCUCUGCAACUUUUCUUGCAUGUGGCCAUUUGCCUAAAGGCAAAGAAAGUUUUGGCCACUCAACUAUAACGAAGAGCUUUAAAACAUCUUGCUAAUUUGUACCUGGGCAGGCAAUAUGAUGAAUUAUCAAUGAGAGGAGAAGUACGGUGCAAAUUCUUUACGAGAGAAGGUUUUAUAAUGUCAUUCCUAAUGAACAAGUAAACUCCUACUAUGGUGUUGCCUGAGAACAACAUUAGAAAAA
Molecule: long non-coding RNA, 340 nt
Organism: Gallus gallus (chicken)
Lineage: Eukaryota; Metazoa; Chordata; Aves; Galliformes; Phasianidae
Exons: 2
Source: RefSeq, a predicted model, not a curated record